GAAAUGCGAUACGUAAUGUGAAUUGCAGAAUCCAGUGAAUCAUCGAAUCUUCGAACGCACGUUGCGGCCCUGGGUAUUCCCAGGGCCACGCCUGCUUGAGUGCCAUUUAAACACCUCAUUCUCUGACUUCUUUGUCAAAGAAUGGACUUGAGUCGUCGGAUCUUUUAAGUAAGGUUCGUCACUUGAAAUCUAGAGGUCAAUAACGCUUUAUCCUCUAAGUACAAGCGUGGUACGCCUUAUUGCAAGGCAACUAUAUCCGCUUGUGCGUUAUAAAAGAGAAUAAUGGCUCAAGACCAAACCUUUUUUUCCCUCUUGGGAGAAAAAACCCCCUUUAAUCUUGGCCUCAAGUCAGACGAGACUACCCGCUGAAUUUAA
Molecule: unclassified non-coding RNA, 375 nt
Filed under: uncultured Agaricomycetes
Lineage: Eukaryota; Fungi; Basidiomycota; Agaricomycetes
Description: sequence contains ITS1
Rfam family: 5.8S ribosomal RNA (bases 1-105)
Source: RNAcentral